AGCACGCUCUUGUUCACCACGACGAUGAGAAAGGAGCUCACGCCGUAAAAGCCGGCAGCCAGCAGCUUCAGGAACAAGGUCUCUUCUUUUAUCAAGUUUUCUGCCCCCAAAGGCAUCGUUCUAGCAUCUGUUGGCCACUCAUCCAAGAGAGUUCCCUUUGGCCAGAAAGCAGCAGUCAAUGGAUCACUAAUUAAGAUUCAGAAAAUUUUAAUCAUUCCAGACUGAUGGUGAUAUAACUUAUAUACCGGGAAAAUCUGUGCAUUUCCUUUCCUUUUCUCUAUAACUGGACUGAUAAUAUGGAGCAGAGAAUUCUGGAGUGCCCAAAGCAGGUCCUUUGAAUGAUGACGGAGUUGGUUGGGAUAUUCUGAUCCAUGGUAUCAUGUGUCCUGUCUAAACAAAAAAGAUCACUGCUUCAGAGACCUCAGUACUCUAUUAACCCUAGCUACUGCUGUAAUUUUCUAAAGCCACUGGCACUAAGAUGGCAUGGCUGAGGUGGUGAAUGGAGGGCUGCAUUUCCCAUGAUGCCCAGGUCCAGAGAAUGAGUGUUCA
Non-coding RNA from Phascolarctos cinereus (koala), 549 nucleotides. Lineage: Eukaryota; Metazoa; Chordata; Mammalia; Diprotodontia; Phascolarctidae. The record is from RefSeq and is a predicted model, not a curated record.